UUCGUCAAACUCAUCGAUAGUGGAACGGGCAGCAGGGUGACGAAGUAAUGAUUUUGAGAAAAAGAUAACUAAUGGUUUACGGAAUUGCCGGUGAAUGUUACGCCUAAGAGCAUGGAAAUACUGCGAUGGCUUAGUAACAUAAAUGGCUUGAAUAUUACAAUCUUGAUGUUGACGUUGCAACUUCUCUUCGGAAGGGAACUCUCGAGGGUCUUCAUUACAUAAUUGUAAAUAUCUUUCCAUACGAGCAGAAGAGUGCUCAGGACCUUGACCAUCAUAACCAUGUGGUAAAGAAAGUACGAUACCGGUACGUUGAAGCCACUUAGUUUCACCAGCUGCAAUAAAUUGAUCUAUGAUACAUUGAGCAUUGUUAGCAAAAUCACCAAAUUGAGCUUCCCAGACGACAAGAGCAUUAGGUGAUGACAAAGAGUAACCAUACUCAAAACCUAAAACACCAUAUUCAGACAGAGAAGAGUUACGAAUAACAAAGCUUGCUUGAUUAGGGCUUAGAUGAUUCAAUGGAAUGUAAACGUUUUCGGAACUCUGAUCGUGUAAAACAGCGUGUCUUUGGGAAAAUGUGCCACGUUCGACAUCUUGACCGCUCACACGAACGUGAUGACCUUCUUCUAAAAGAGUACCAAAGGCCAAUGCCUCGGCGGUU
Non-coding RNA from Schizosaccharomyces pombe (fission yeast), 658 nucleotides. The record is from the annotation of a GenBank genome assembly. Lineage: Eukaryota; Fungi; Ascomycota; Schizosaccharomycetes; Schizosaccharomycetales; Schizosaccharomycetaceae.